GCAUCACGGAUUGCUUGCAAUCUGGUGGCGACCGGCGCACGGGUGCGUAACGCGUAUACAACCUACCUUUUGGAGGGGAAUAGCCCAGAGAAAUUUGGAUUAAUACCCCAUAGUAUAUAGGAAUCUCCUGAUUUUAUAUUAAACAUUUAUGGCCAUUAGAUGGGUAUGCGUCCUAUUAGCUAGUUGGUGUGGUAACGGCACACCAAGGCUACGAUAGGUAGGGGUCCUGAGAGGAGAUCCCCACACUGGUACUGAGACACGGACCAGACUCCUACGGGAGGCAGCAGUGAGGAAUAUUGGACAAUGGGCGAGAGCCUGAUCCAGCCAUGCCGCGUGCAGGAAGACUCGCCCUAGUGGGUUGUAAACUGUCUUUUACAGAGGAAGAACCCACCCCACGUGUGGGGGUUUGACGGUACUCUGCGAAUAAGGAUCGGCUAACUCCGUG
This 445-nucleotide ribosomal RNA is filed under the name uncultured bacterium. RNAcentral's name for it is "bacterial SSU rRNA". It matches the Rfam family "Bacterial small subunit ribosomal RNA", at positions 69 to 507 of the family's 1533-position model. The record is from RNAcentral.